GGGCUCACCUUGGCAGCACAUAUACUAAAAGUGGAACAAUACAGAGAAGAUUAGCAUGACCCCUGCACAAGGAUGACAUGCAAAUUUGUGAAGCAUUCCAUAUUAAA
This 107-nucleotide small nuclear RNA is filed under the name Delphinapterus leucas (beluga whale). The record is from RNAcentral. Lineage: Eukaryota; Metazoa; Chordata; Mammalia; Artiodactyla; Monodontidae.